This 2197-nucleotide long non-coding RNA is filed under the name Sus scrofa (pig). Its description in RNAcentral is "lncRNA (ENSSSCG00005041779.1)". Lineage: Eukaryota; Metazoa; Chordata; Mammalia; Artiodactyla; Suidae. The record is from RNAcentral.
CCUUUUCUCCACCCCCCCUCCAGCACUUGUUAUUUGUGGAUUUAUUAAUGAUGGCCAUUCUGACUGGUGUGAGGUGGUAUCUCAUGGUAGUUUUGAUUUGCAUUUCUCUUAUAAUCAGCGAUGUUGAGCAUUUUUUCAAGAUAAUAUCAUUUCUUAGGUAAUGUUACAAAGUCACUACUGAUAUAACAAAGUCUUAUCAGUUCUGUAGAUCAACUCAGUUUAUUAUAAAACAAUAUGCAAUAUUGUACUCAUACAGUAGUAAAUGUAUAUAUUUAAUGUAUACAUACAUUUACUAUUGUAUGAGUUUAAGCUCCAUAGGGGAGGCAUUUUUGUUAGCUUUGCACACUGAAGUAUAGCAAGCCUGUAGAAAAGUGUCUGGUAUAUAGUAGGUGCUCAAUAAAUACUUGUUAAUAAUAAUGCAACUGUAUUAACCCUCUAAGCAGUCAAAAUCCACAUAUAACUACACUUGGCUCUCUGAAUCCAUGUUUGCACAUCCGCAGAUUCAACCAACUUCAGAUCAUGUCUUCAUGGUAUAUACAGUAUAAAUAUAUACUAUGGUAUAUAUUUAGUGAAAAAAAAAAUCCACAUGUAAGUAGACCCACACAGUUUAAACCUAUGUUGUUCAAGGGAGCACUGUAAUUGAAUAGUGUGUGUCAGAAAUACAGAGGCGUCUAAAAGACAGUAUCAUCCUUUCUCUAUCCAUUCUUCCAAGUUGAUGAGCAUCUUAUCCCUACACCGAAGCUGAUGAUAAUGCCAGAUCCUUUAACCCACUGUGCCAGGUAGGGAUCGAACCUGUGUCCUGGUGCUGCAGAGACACGGCUGCUCACAUUUCACCACAGCAGGAACUCCAAAGAGCAUCUUUAUGCCCAUCACUUUGAACGCUCAGUCAGCACCUAGAUCAGCACCUGAUUGGCAGCCAGCUACUCAGGCAACAGCUUUCAAAGUGGAAAAUAUAUACAGUCCUGUGGGACCAGCAGCGUAAGCCCUGUUGGCCACCAGGCCAGGCGAUUUGGAGGUGUCCCUCCGGGGUGACAAUCACAAGAAUCAGUAUCUAGAGGAGAUGGUUACCUCCUUUCUGGGAGAUUCCAGUGACCUAUACUGAGUCAGACGGAGAGCGAAAAAGUGGUGUCCCCCCCAAACUACAGUCCCUGAGAGCCACUCCAUAGCCUCCAGGUAUGUACCGCCCUAAAACCCACCUUUCAGGCAGAAACUCUAGGACAAGUACUCAGGCCACUUUCACAGAGGGGCCGGGUGUGUUUCAGUCUGCUCUCUGUGUGGUGCCCUGGGCCGGUAGCUGUCAAGACCUGUCUGUCCUAGUGCUCUAGUCCUAGGGGACCCAGAAAGGAAAGCCCUCCUGGGCACUCGAGUCAGGUGUUUCAGGGAUGUCCCCUGGGUGUCAGCUGCAAAAACCAGGACACUAGAUGUAAAAACUGGGACACUUAAAACCCAGACAUGAAAACUGGGCACCAGCUGUGUAUAAAGCUCCCCUCUGGGAGACACUGGUGCUGAGGACUGUGGCAGAGGGAGCAGGCAAGGAAGACACCCUCUAAGGACCAAGAAAGAAAAAUGGCAGCUGCUGGCUUUAGCGAGGCAGAGGGAGCGUGCUGGAAGGGUGCCCACCGGUGCCUCCAUCCAGAAUCUGUCAGACCCCAACCCCUCAGGCCCAUGCCUUAAGCUUUGCAAAUGAGUUCUUUGGCAGAAAAUCUGGAUGCUUUUCCAACAGCCGCUUCUGUGCUGGCCCCUGGCCACUGAGUCCGUGCCCUUGCAGGGGGGUGCUGCUCAGUUUGCUGCAGCCUUUGGGUCUUUCUCGUGGGUGUGGCCCUGCUGGUUUUCGAAGUCAGACGUUUUGGAGGUUCAUCUCUCAGCGGUUGGUCUUAAAUGCUGGAGUGCUGAUGUGGGGUAUGAACCUCUCUGUCCUCAGGGGGAGGCCCCAGGUUUGUGUGUUCCCUCUGAUUGGGGGUCACGGCCUUGGGGAGGCAUCGUGGCUUAGCGUGUCCUGCCUGCCUCCAUGUGGCUCUUUCCUUGUUUGUAGAGAAGAAGGAGCUGCACAGCUAGUUUUCAGGUCUUUUUCGGAGGAAAUUGUUCCGUACGUAGCUGUAGGUUCAGGCUGUCAGGGGAGGAGCUGAAUUCAGGAUCUUCCUCCGUCUCUACCUUGGAUGACCUCCCCCGACACACUUGCUCCAAUCAGGAAAUUCUC